RNAcentral lists this ribosomal RNA (490 nucleotides) under uncultured bacterium. Its description in RNAcentral is "partial 16S ribosomal RNA". It matches the Rfam family "Bacterial small subunit ribosomal RNA", at positions 30 to 507 of the family's 1533-position model. The record is from RNAcentral.
AUUGAACGCUGGCGGCAGGCCUAACACAUGCAAGUCGAACGGUAACAGGAAGAAGCUUGCUUCUUUGCUGACGAGUGGCGGACGGGUGAGUAAUGUCUGGGAAACUGCCUGAUGGAGGGGGAUAACUACUGGAAACGGUAGCUAAUACCGCAUAACGUCGCAAGACCAAAGAGGGGGACCUUCGGGCCUCUUGCCCUCGGAUGUGCCCAGAUGGGAUUAGCUAGUAGGUGGGGUAAAGGCUCACCUAGGCGACGAUCCCUAGCUGGUCUGAGAGGAUGACCAGCCACACUGGAACUGAGACACGGUCCAGACUCCUACGGGAGGCAGCAGUGGGGAAUAUUGCACAAUGGGCGCAAGCCUGAUGCAGCCAUGCCGCGUGUAUGAAGAAGGCCUUCGGGUUGUAAAGUACUUUCAGCGGGGAGGAAGGGAGUAAAGUUAAUACCUUUGCUCAUUGACGUUACCCGCAGAAGAAGCACCGGCUAACUCCGUG